AUUGAACGCUGGCGGCAGGCCUAACACAUGCAAGUCGAGCGGAUGAAGGGAGCUUGCUCCUGGAUUCAGCGGCGGACGGGUGAGUAAUGCCUAGGAAUCUGCCUGGUAUUGGGGGAUAACGUCCGGAAACGGGCGCUAAUACCGCAUACGUCCUGAGGGAGAAAGGGGGGGAUCUUCGGACCUCACGCUAUCAGAUGAGCCUAGGUCGGAUUAGCUAGUUGGUGGGGUAAAGGCCUACCAAGGCGACGAUCCGUAACUGGUCUGAGAGGAUGAUCAGUCACACUGGAACUGAGACACGGUCCAGACUCCUACGGGAGGCAGCAGUGGGGAAUAUUGGACAAUGGGCGAAAGCCUGAUCCAGCCAUGCCGCGUGUGUGAAGAAGGUCUUCGGAUUGUAAAGCACUUUAAGUUGGGAGGAAGGGCAGUAAGUUAAUACCUUGCUGUUUUGACGUUACCAACAGAAUAAGCACCGGCUAACUUCGUG
Molecule: ribosomal RNA, 484 nt
Filed under: uncultured bacterium
Lineage: Bacteria
Description: partial 16S ribosomal RNA
Rfam family: Bacterial small subunit ribosomal RNA
Source: RNAcentral